Non-coding RNA from Acanthosepion pharaonis, 99 nucleotides. The record is from the annotation of a GenBank genome assembly. Lineage: Eukaryota; Metazoa; Mollusca; Cephalopoda; Sepiida; Sepiidae.
GUUGAAACACCAGUUCUCGUAUGUUCACCAAAGCUAAGCAAUGUUGAGCCUGGUCAGUACCUGGAUGGGUGACCGUUUGAGAAUACCAGGUGCUGUAAG